UAUGUCUCAGUUAUUGAAUCUUAUGUUCAUACAAAUAUUUACACAUGUUAAGUCUGCUGAAAAUAAAUAGUGAGUGACAGUGAGAGGAUGUUUAUUUUUGUUUUGCUGAUUUUAUAAGCAGCAAGCUAAACUUCACAGCACUAACUACCUGUGCUUCUAUUCAUUUAGCCACAUGUUUUUUCCAGAUGCACGGCGCCACUAUAAAGGUACUAGGUAUCAAGGUUCAACUUGUGUGUUGUUACGUUUUGAUUUUUACCGUUUUGGUCAAAUCAAAUGUGGUUAGCAGAUGUUAUUGGUCACAUACACAUGGUUAGCAGAUGUUAAUGCGUGUAGCGAAAUGCUUGUGCUUCUAGUUCCGACAAUGCAGUAAUAACCAACGAGUAAUCUAACCUAACAAUUCCAAAACUACUACCUUAUACACACACAAGUGUAAAGGGAUAAAGAAUAUGUACAUAAAGAUAUAUGAAUGAGUGAUGGUACAGAACGGCAUAGGCAAGAUGCAGUAGAUGGUAGAGUACAGUAUAUACUUAUCAAGGCACCGUCAUCUUACCUACCUUCCUGAGAUAAUGACAUUAGUGUGUCUGUCUUUAUACUUGACCGUAGAACGAGAGAGAGUAACAUGUUGAUACAUGAAUCCAGGGUGCUGUACAACACUGUUCCAGUAGGUGGCGCUGUACAACACUGUUCCAGUAGGUGGCGCUGUACAACACUGUUCCAGUAGGUGGAGCUGUACAACACUGUUCCAGUAGGUGGAGCUGUACAACACUGUUCCAGUAGGUGGUGCUGUACAACACUGUUCCAGUAGGUGGAGCUGUACAACACUGUUCCAGUAGGUGGCGCUGUACAACACUGUUCCAGUAGGUGGUGCUGUACAACACUGUUCCAGUAGGUGGAGCUGUACAACACUGUUCCAGUAGGUGGCGCUGUACAACACUGUUCCAGUAGGUGGCGCUGUACAACACUGUUCCAGUAGGUGGAGCUGUACAACACUGUUCCAGUAGGUGGCGCUGUACAACACUGUUCCAGUAGGUGGCGCUGUACAAC
Molecule: long non-coding RNA, 1044 nt
Organism: Oncorhynchus keta (chum salmon)
Lineage: Eukaryota; Metazoa; Chordata; Actinopteri; Salmoniformes; Salmonidae
Exons: 3
Source: RefSeq, a predicted model, not a curated record